GAUGUCAGUUGUGGUCCUCGG
RNAcentral lists this unclassified non-coding RNA (21 nucleotides) under Mus musculus (house mouse). RNAcentral describes it as "oocyte_clustered_small_RNA13935". Lineage: Eukaryota; Metazoa; Chordata; Mammalia; Rodentia; Muridae. The record is from RNAcentral.